Molecule: ribosomal RNA, 1290 nt
Filed under: metagenome
Description: bacterial SSU rRNA
Rfam family: Bacterial small subunit ribosomal RNA
Source: RNAcentral
AGCUAGUUGGUAGGGUAAGAGCCUACCAAGGCGACGAUGGAUAGCCGGCCUGAGAGGGUGAUCGGCCACACUGGGACUGAGACACGGCCCAUACUCCUACGGGAGGCAGCAGCUAAGAAUCUUCCGCAAUGGGCGAAAGCCUGACGGAGCGACGCCGCGUGGACGAAGAAGGCCGAAAGGUUGUAAAGUCCUUUUCUUAGGGAAGAAUAAUGUAAAGAAUGGAAUGCUUUACAGAUGACAUUAACUGAGGAAUAAGCCCCGGCCAAUUACGUGCCAGCAGCCGCGGUAAUACGUGUGGGGCGAGCGUUGUUCGGAAUUAUUGGGCGUAAAGGGCGUGUAGGCGGUUUUAUAAGCCUGGUGUGAAAUCCCACAGCUCAACUGUGGAGACGCGCUGGGAACUGUAAGACUAGAGUUCAGGAGGGGAUGCUGGAAUUCCUGGUGUAGGGGUGAAAUCUGUAGAUAUCAGGAAGAACACCGAUGGCGAAGGCAAGCAUCUGGCCAUGGACUGACGCUGAGGCGCGAAAGCGUGGGGAGCGAACAGGAUUAGACACCCUGGUAGUCCACGCUGUAAACGAUGUGCACUGGGUGUAGGAGGCGUUGAGCUUUCUGUGCCGUAGCUAACGCGUUAAGUGCACCGCCUGGGGAGUACGCUCGCAAGGGUGAAACUCAAAGGAAUUGACGGGGGCCCGCACAAGCGGUGGAGCAUGUGGUUUAAUUCGAUACGCGAGGAACCUUACCAGGGCUUGACAUGUACUUGAAGGCUUAAGAGAUUAAGUCGACCUUUAGGGGACGGGUACACAGGUGCUGCAUGGUUGUCGUCAGCUCGUGUCGUGAGAUGUUGGGUUAAGUCCCGCAACGAGCGCAACCCUUACUGUCUGUUGCCAGCAGGCCUUCGGGCGCUGGGGACUCAGGCAGAACUGCCGGUGACAAACCGGAGGAAGGUGGGGAUGACGUCAAAUCAUCAUGGCCCUUAUGUCCUGGGCUACACACGUGCUACAAUGGCCGGUACAAAGCGUUGCAAGACGGUGACGUCCUCAGCAGAUCGCAAAAAGCCGGUCUCAGUUCGGAUUGGAGUCUGAAACCCGACUCCAUGAAGUUGGGAUCGCUAGUAAUCGCGCAUCAGAAUGGCGCGGUGAAUAUGUUCCCGGGCCUUGUACACACCGCCCGUCACACCACCCGAGUUGGGGGUACCCGAAGUCGCUAGUCUAACUUUUAGAGGACGGUGCCGAAGGUAUGCCUGGUAAGGGGGGUGAAGUCGAAGCAAGGUAGCCGUACCGGAAGGUGCGGCUG